RNAcentral lists this long non-coding RNA (269 nucleotides) under Medicago truncatula (barrel medic). RNAcentral's name for it is "long non-coding RNA (MTRU_LNC007477)". Lineage: Eukaryota; Viridiplantae; Streptophyta; Magnoliopsida; Fabales; Fabaceae. The record is from RNAcentral.
AAUACGGUGGUGGGGAUGGAGGAUGUCGGUGGCGGCGGAAGAGAUGAGAGAACGGAAAGAGGAAGAAAAUGUUUUUUUCCUAGGGUUGUUUUGGCUGAGGUUGAAGAAAGUGGGAAAAAAAUUCAAUGUUAAGGGAAUACAGUAAGUUCAGUGUUCUUCAACCAUCUAAUGGUUACACAUGUUAUCUUUGUUGUAAAAAAAAAAAAUCAAUUUUUUAUAAAGUCACCCACCGUAGGAGAUCUAUUUAAGUCUCCUACCGGAAACGGCAC